This 576-nucleotide ribosomal RNA is filed under the name uncultured eukaryote. RNAcentral describes it as "SSU rRNA". It matches the Rfam family "Eukaryotic small subunit ribosomal RNA", at positions 174 to 758 of the family's 1831-position model. The record is from RNAcentral.
UAAAAACCCCGACUUCGGAAGGGGUGUAUUUAUUAGAUACAAAACCAAUGCCCUUCGGGGCUCUUUGGUGAUUCAUGAUAACUAUACGAAUCGCACGGCCUUGCGCCGGCGAUGGUUCAUUCAAAUUUCUUCCCUAUCAACUUUCGAUGUUUGGGUAUUGGCCAAACAUGGUUGCAACGGGUAACGGAGGGUUAGGGCUCGACCCCGGAGAAGGAGCCUGAGAAACGGCUACUACAUCCAAGGAAGGCAGCAGGCGCGCAAAUUACCCAAUCCCGACUCGGGGAGGUAGUGACAAUAAAUACUGAUACAGGGCCCUUUCGGGCCUUGUAAUUGGAAUGAGUACAAUUUAAAUCCCUUAACGAGGAACAAUUGGAGGGCAAGUCUGGUGCCAGCAGCCGCGGUAAUUCCAGCUCCAAUAGCGUAUAUUAAAGUUGUUGUGGUUAAAAAGCUCGUAGUUGAACCUUGGGCCUGGCUGGCCGGUCCGCCUCACCGCGUGCACAGGUCCGGCCGGGCCUUUCCCUCUGUGGAACCCCAUACCCUUCACUGGGCGUGGCGGGGAAACAGGACAUUUACUUU